Long non-coding RNA from Pezoporus occidentalis (night parrot), 1049 nucleotides. RefSeq lists it as uncharacterized. The record is from RefSeq and is a predicted model, not a curated record. NCBI's taxonomy places the organism in Eukaryota, Metazoa, Chordata, Aves, Psittaciformes, Psittacidae. The transcript is spliced from 3 exons.
UUGAGACAUUUAUUUAAAUACAUCAAGAGCCUACCACGUAUGUCUGUGAGAUAUUUCCCUCACGGACAGGUAGCUAUCUGUUGAAAAACACGUAAAGCCCUGGAUCUGUGAGGAUUUUUGGUUGGUUUCACUCCCUGUUGGGGUUUUCUCUGAAGUGGUCUCUUGGUCUUGGUACAUGAUGUUUCUGGUGUAUAGCUCUUUUAAGUGAAUGUACAUUCUGACGCAUAUAUUAUAAAAGUCAACUUUUCACCGGAGGCAUGUGUUUCUAGGCACAAUCUGGGGUUUGGAAAUAGUUAGGGCUACAUGCUGGAAGUGAGGCCAGCUUUCUGUGGCAUGCUGCCACAUCUUUUUUGAUUAGGAAGUUAACAGCUGGAUAACUUCUGAAAACAGGAAGGUAUGACAGCAAAACUUUAUUUCAAUUAAAUAGCUCCCAUAUAAACACAGGAAUUCCACUGUCAUCCCCACUUCUUAUCCUCAGCAGGUUUUGCAAGGACAGACUGGCUGGGUGACAGGUCCAGUGGCUCUGUGCUAGCCACAGGUCGCUGUGAGCAGGUCUCUUACCUAGUUCAGCUGGCAGCUGAAAGAAAUAAUCUGAAAAGUCACAUCACAUUCAGUUUUAGCAGAAUUUACUAUUCCUCUGUGGAACUAGUGAUUCGAAAAAAAGUUUUCAUGGAGACCUAAGGAAAAGCUUCCAACACAGGAAUUGUCUUGUACACAAAAUGGCUGCCAGCUCCCCUCACUGCCAGUGGUUUGGAAUCAACAAAAUGGCCACCCUCUCCCCUCACAGUGUGCAAGAACAGGCAGAAGAGAGGAUUAGAAAAAUAAAGGAAAAGGAAGCAAGGAAAGAGACAGAAACAAGUAUUCUGCUGAAGGAAUUCAUCUGACUGAGGACGCUAAAUGAGCUGCUGCAAGGAAGCUGAGUAAAGACAGAGAUGGAAAGUGGUUUGAAUGCCUCUGAAUGAAGAUAUGCCAAAGGGAGCCUGUCCAUAGCAGGCAUUAUCUUUAUAUAUGCUUAUAUAUAUAUGGCCGCUUCCCAUAUAUAUAUAAUU